AGAGUUAGCUCCAGGUAAAUGUUGCAAUUCUUCAGCCAUUCCUGGACCUGUGACCGAAAACAAGCUACAUAUGGACAGUACUUAAACAAAUUAUCUAAUGAUUCUGUCUCUUCGCAGCAAAAUCUGCAGAGCUGGAAGAAAAAAGGACAUUUCGUGUUGGAGGCAGUGUGGACAAAUAAACUCAUAAAAAAGGAAUGUCUUCUCACUGUCAACUGCGUUUAUUUUCAGCAAACUUAACAUGUGUAAAUAUUUGUAUGAACAUAAGAUUCAACAACUGAGACAUAAACUGAACAAGUUCCACAGACAUGUGACUAACUGAAAUUGAAUAAUGUGUCCUUGAACAAGGGGAGGGGUCAAAAUCAAAAGUAAUAGUCAGUAUCUGGUGUGGCCACCAUCUGCAUUAAGUACUGCAGUGCAUCUCCUCCUCAUGGACUGCACCAGAUUUGCCAGUUCUUGCUGUGAGAUGUUACCCCACUCUUCCACCAAGGCACCUGCAAGUUCCCGGACAUUUCUGAGGGGAAUGGACCUAGCCCUCACCCUCCGAUCCAACAGGUCCCAGACGUGCUCAAUGGGAUUGCGAUCCGGGUUCUUCGCUGGCCAUGGCAGAACACUGACAUUCCUGCAGGAUAUCACUCACAGAACGAGCAGUAUGGCUGGUGGCAUUGUCAUGCUGGAGGGUCAUGUCAGGAGGAGGAUGUAUUCCCUGUAACGCACAGCAUUGAGAUUGCCCGUAAUGACAACAACUCAGUCCGAUGAUGCUUUGACACACUGCCCCAGACCAUGACGGACCCUCCACCUCCAAAUCGACCCGGCUCCAGAGUACAGGCCUUGGUGUAACGUUCAUUCCUUCGACAAUACAGGCGCAUCCGACCAUCACCCCUGGUGAGACAAAACCGCGACUCAUCAGUGAAGACCACUUUUUGCCAGUCCUGUCUGGUCCAGCGACGGUGGGUUUGUGCCCAUAGGCCACAUUGUUGCCGGUGAUGUCUGGUGAGGACCUGCCUUACAACAGGCCUACAAGCCCUCAGUCCAGCCUCCCUAAGCCUAUUGUGGACAGUCUGAGCACUGAUGGACGGAUUGUGCAUUCCUGGUGUAACUCGGGCAGUUGUUGUUGGCAUCCUGUACCUGUCCCGCAAGUGUGAUGUUCGGAUGUACCGAUCCUGUGCAGGUGUUGUUACACAUGGUCUGCCACUGCGAGGACGAUCAGCUGUCCAUCUUGUCUCCCUGUAGCACUGUCUUAGGCGUCUCACAGUACGGACAUGGCAAUUUAUUGCUCUGGCCACAUCUGCAGUCCUCAUGCCUCCUUGCAGCAUGCCUAAGGCACGUUCACACAGAUGAGCAGGGACACUGGGCAUAUUUCUUUUGGUGUUUUUCAGAGUCAGUAGAAAGGCCUCUUUAGUGUCCUAAGUUUUCAUAACUGUGACCUUAAUUGCCUACCCUCUGUAAACUGUUAGUGUCUUAACGACCGUUCCACAGGUGCAUGUUCAUUAAAUGUUUAUGGUUCAUUGAACAAGCACGGGAAACAGUGUUUAAACCCUUUACAAUGAAGAUCUGUGAAGUUAUUUGGAUUUUUACGAAUUAUCUUUGAAAGACAGGGUCCUGAAAAAGGGACGUUUCUUUUUUUGCUGAGUUUAGGUAUUGUUCUUGUGGAUACAGUCCUCUCCACUUAAAUUGAUACAUCAUAUUUUAGCAGUAGCAAGGAAUUGUGUAACAAAAUGCAGGAAAAAUUAACAUGCACGUUCAAAAGAUAUGUGGUUAGGUCUAUGCGAGGAAGUUGCUGACAUGGACAGAAUUACUUCAAUCUUGCAACAUAGAUAGCAUAGGUAUGAAGGUGUCUGGUCAGAGUUCCUGACAUAUCGUACAGGUCUUGUUCUGUUAUUUAUGGGCUUUUUGUUUGUUUCUUUUGUUUUUGUGUGGCUUAAUCCAAAUUGUAUACUUAUUCAGACUCUUGAAAUAUUUGCUCUAAACAGCCAAAAUGUACCCUUAACAUGUGAAUGUAACUACGCUCCUUUGUAAAGACAGCAAAGAUAAGUUGUGUAUGUAUGGUACAUGUUUUUUAUGUGCUCUUUAAUAAAAAUGUAUGUUUAAAAUAUAAAAACAAGGACAUUUCUAAGUAACCGCAAACUUUUGAACGGUAGUGCAUGCUAACAAGAUUAGGGUGUGUAUAUUAUAAUUCUACAUUUGAUAUACUGAACAAAAAUAUAAAUGUUAAGUGAUGGUCCCAUGUUUCAUGAAUUGAAAUAAACCCAGAAAUUUUCCAUA
RNAcentral lists this long non-coding RNA (2262 nucleotides) under Salmo salar (Atlantic salmon). RNAcentral describes it as "lncRNA (ENSSSAG00000108035.1)". Lineage: Eukaryota; Metazoa; Chordata; Actinopteri; Salmoniformes; Salmonidae. The record is from RNAcentral.